RNAcentral lists this unclassified non-coding RNA (225 nucleotides) under Hevea brasiliensis (rubber tree). Lineage: Eukaryota; Viridiplantae; Streptophyta; Magnoliopsida; Malpighiales; Euphorbiaceae. The record is from RNAcentral.
GCAAGAUGUCCCCAUUUAGUGCGCUACACUUGGGCCAUUUAAGUGGUCUUGUGUUGUCCUCAAUUUGCCGCAACACUUGCCCCACUAAUUUGCUCAUCACAUGCAAUUUACCAUCAACCACUUAGUGCGCCCCAUUGUGCUCUUCACAUGCACUAACACAUUAGGCCAUUUGUCCCACGUGGAACUCCACUACCACAAUUACCAUGCAAUUGUUCUUCACGUAAG